Molecule: small nucleolar RNA, 139 nt
Filed under: Leersia perrieri
Lineage: Eukaryota; Viridiplantae; Streptophyta; Magnoliopsida; Poales; Poaceae
Description: snoRNA snoZ247
Rfam family: Small nucleolar RNA Z247
About the family: Z247 is a member of the C/D class of snoRNA which contain the C (UGAUGA) and D (CUGA) box motifs. Most of the members of the box C/D family function in directing site-specific 2'-O-methylation of substrate RNAs.
Source: Rfam by way of RNAcentral
CCACUGGACGACGAAGAUUUGAUUUUGUACGUCCUUGCUGGAUUAGAUGAAGAUUUCGAGCCAGUGGUGUCUUUGCUCGUUGGCCGACAAGAUCCAAUCACCGUUGCUGAGAUGCACUCUCAGCUUCUGAGCUUUGAAU